This is a long non-coding RNA of Carassius carassius (crucian carp), 293 nucleotides long. RefSeq lists it as uncharacterized. The transcript is spliced from 2 exons. The record is from RefSeq and is a predicted model, not a curated record. NCBI's taxonomy places the organism in Eukaryota, Metazoa, Chordata, Actinopteri, Cypriniformes, Cyprinidae.
CCUCUUUUAAUGUGAUGUCGACAGGGUUUUCUGUGAUCAUCUGCAGCGCUGCAGCGUCACAGGAUCAAGCACCGUAUCCAGGCAAAUGACAACAAACCCUCCAGGAAACACCGGCUUCAACACAAGGUUGAACCUGAACAUGUACAGACACGAGCGAGAAAGCAGUUUCUCUUCUUCGUCUCUCUUCGCAGGAAUGCUGAUAAUGUUUAUCACGCACAAAUAUAUCUGACAGCAGCUAUCAGAAAUUAAAGCUUCUGGCCAGUACAAGGGUUUUUGAGUUACUAAAACAAAAA